RNAcentral lists this long non-coding RNA (483 nucleotides) under Homo sapiens (human). Its description in RNAcentral is "HSALNT0320347". Lineage: Eukaryota; Metazoa; Chordata; Mammalia; Primates; Hominidae. The record is from RNAcentral.
CUUACUCUGCCAUUUUCCAGCUGUGUGGCUUUGGGCAAGUUAUUUAACCUCUCUGUGCCUCAACUUCUUCAUGUAAACUGGCAGUAAUAAUAAUACGAAUGCCACAGAGCUGUGGAUGAAAUGAGCCCAUUCCGGUCUGGCUUCUUUAACCAGGAAGAUGUGGGCUGAGAGCUGUGGAGUAGAUGUCUUCACCAGAUGAGUACACAGAGAAGUAGAGAAUGUGUAUCUGCAGAGUAGGAUGAAGCAGAGACAAGUCUUGUGAAUAAGGUAUUCAGGAAGCACAGCUGUCUUUUGUUCCUGAAGCCGUAUCAGGAUUCAGCAGGAAAGAGCACCAAGAUCACUUGGCAAUGUUUAUCCUGAUCAAGCACGGGCACUGAUGGCAGGAUGUCAAUGUUGAAAAGCAGGUUAUUUAAUUCUGCUAUUUAAAAGUGGCUACGGACCAGGCGCAGUGGCUCACGCCUGUAAUCCCAGCACUUUGGGAGG